Molecule: ribosomal RNA, 473 nt
Filed under: uncultured bacterium
Lineage: Bacteria
Description: bacterial SSU rRNA
Rfam family: Bacterial small subunit ribosomal RNA
Source: RNAcentral
UGGGGAAUUUUGGACAAUGGGGGAAACCCUGAUCCAGCCAUUCCGCGUGAGUGAAGAAGGCCUUCGGGUUGUAAAGCUCUUUCGGCAGGAACGAAACGGUUUGGGCUAAUACCCCAGACUACUGGCGGUACCUGAAGAAGAAGCACCGGCUAACUACGUGCCAGCAGCCGCGGUAAUACGUAGGGUGCGAGCGUUAAUCGGAUUUACUGGGCGUAAAGCAUGCGCAGGCGGCGGUUCAAGUCAGGUGUGAAACUCCCCGAGCUUAACUUGGGAAUUGCGCUUGAAACUAGAUCGCUAGAGUACGGCAGAGGGGGGUAGAAUUCCACGUGUAGCAGUGAAAUGCGUAGAGAUGUGGAGGAACACCGAUGGCGAAGGCAGCCCCCUGGGCCUGUACUGACGCUCAUGCAUGAAAGCGUGGGGAGCAAACAGGAUUAGAUACCCUCGUAGUCCCUGAGCGGGCUGGCAAGGCGCAU